RNAcentral lists this transfer RNA (88 nucleotides) under Phytohabitans rumicis. RNAcentral describes it as "tRNA-Val". The record is from RNAcentral. Lineage: Bacteria; Bacillati; Actinomycetota; Actinomycetes; Micromonosporales; Micromonosporaceae.
CGGCGGCGUGGGCGAGCAUCAGCUUGGCGGUCACGUCGCCGAUCGCGAAGAUGUGCGGCACGCUGGUGCGGCACCGGCCGUCGACGUC